RNAcentral lists this long non-coding RNA (1298 nucleotides) under Amborella trichopoda. Its description in RNAcentral is "long non-coding RNA (ATRI_LNC003435)". Lineage: Eukaryota; Viridiplantae; Streptophyta; Magnoliopsida; Amborellales; Amborellaceae. The record is from RNAcentral.
UUUUUGUUAUUUUGCACUUAAAUACUUUUAUGCAUUAAAUUAACAAAUUUUGGAUACUUAUAGAACUUUGUUUUAUACUAUAAUAUUUUUUAGUAAGGCUAUUUUUUGUCAUUACGAGGAGUGUGAUGUUAUUCACUUUGAUAUCACCUACAAGGAACAUUAAAUGUCAUUAGUGAGCUCGAUAUGAGUGGAUGAUAAUGCUCCAUGUAUAAAAUAAUAAUAUAUAAGUAUCUAAAAUUUGUUGAGUAUAACUACAAAAUGCUCUUUUGUGUGAGGCCUAACAUAACCUUUUAGAUAUUCUUAAUUUUUUUUUAAGGAGGUAUGAAAUUGAAAUGAAUAAAUAAAGUAUGACCUCAAAAUAAUACUAGAGAUUAUUUAACCCUUGAAUAAUAUUUCAUUUAUUUAUUGUUUUUAAGUCAUUUAGUGAGAAAGAUAGGUCCCUACCCGUUGCUUCAAAUAGUUUAGGAGUUAGAUUUUUUACAGGUGUUAGUGAUAAUAAAAACCACAACGUAGUGACCAAGGUGUAGGGGUACUACUACCAUGACGACCCAUUACGCCAUGGAAAAGUAUAGAAUGGGGCCAUUUACCUUUGGUACAAGGUGGUCACAAUUAAUCUUGACCAUUGGAUAUGAAAUUGGGCUAUUUAAUUUAUUCCAUUGACCAUGGUCAAAAUUCAAAAAAUAAAAUUUCAAACAUUGUGACACACCAAAGCUAUUAAAUUUUAUAUCACAUAGUUGUAAGGAAUUGUGAUCACCUUGUAUCAAAGGUAAAUGGUCUUAUUGUAUACAAUCUCGUACGUCAAUUAGCCAAUUGUUAAAUGAGUAAAGCACAAUAAAGUGAAUUGAUAAUAAUAAUAAUAAUAAAAGGGUUAUGUUAGGGUGUUCCCACUAUGGAGCAUUUUAGAAUUGUACUCAACAAUUUUGGAUUUUUUUUUUUUGACCAAAGUUAUAAUGUUUUAUUACUUAAUUAGGCAUCGAUUACAUCAUUCAAUAAAAGAAAUGGAAUACAUAGAAACCCCCCUCUUAGCAAGCGCAUCAGCCUCAAAGUUGCCCUCCCUUUAUACAUGCUAAAAGAAAAUAGAAAAAGAAGCCGCCAAAUCCAUCACUUGAUCCCAAAGUGAUUUGAGAGACCAAGGAACUCGUUGCUCAUUUUUACACCACCUAAUGACAUUCAAGGAAUCACCUUCAACCAAUAUAAAGUUCCCCAGAUUCAUAUUGUUAAUGAAACAUAGACCGAAGAGCACUGAGGUAAUAUCCACACAAUUGGCCGUAGUGUGACCAAUCGGGCCAGCAUAGGCU